GAGAGAAAGUCAUAGAGGUUAUGGGAUUGACUUGAAAUUAAUCUUAGGAGGUUCGAUUCCUUCCUUUCUUG
This 71-nucleotide transfer RNA is filed under the name Macropus giganteus (eastern gray kangaroo). Its description in RNAcentral is "transfer RNA-Ser". It matches the Rfam family "tRNA". Rfam says of the family: Transfer RNA (tRNA) molecules are approximately 80 nucleotides in length. Their secondary structure includes four short double-helical elements and three loops (D, anti-codon, and T loops). The record is from RNAcentral. Lineage: Eukaryota; Metazoa; Chordata; Mammalia; Diprotodontia; Macropodidae.